AACGAACGCUGGCGGCGUGCCUAACACAUGCAAGUCGAGCGCGAAUGGAGCAAUCCUAGUAGAGCGGCGCACGGGUGCGUAACACGUAGGCAAUCUUCCCUUGAGCGGGGGAUAACGUUUCGAAAGAGACGCUAUACCGCAUAAGACCACGACCGGUUCGCCGGUUGCGGUCAAAGCUGGCCUCUUCUUGAAAGCUAGCACUUAAGGACGAGCCUGCGGCCCAUCAU
This 227-nucleotide ribosomal RNA is filed under the name uncultured bacterium. RNAcentral's name for it is "partial 16S ribosomal RNA". It matches the Rfam family "Bacterial small subunit ribosomal RNA", at positions 29 to 244 of the family's 1533-position model. The record is from RNAcentral.